This 486-nucleotide ribosomal RNA is filed under the name uncultured bacterium. Its description in RNAcentral is "partial 16S ribosomal RNA". It matches the Rfam family "Bacterial small subunit ribosomal RNA", at positions 30 to 507 of the family's 1533-position model. The record is from RNAcentral.
AUUGAACGCUGGCGGCAUGCCUUACACAUGCAAGUCGAACGGCAGCACGGGUGCUUGCACCUGGUGGCGAGUGGCGAACGGGUGAGUAAUACAUCGGAACAUGUCCUGUAGUGGGGGAUAGCCCGGCGAAAGCCGGAUUAAUACCGCAUACGAUCUACGCAUGAAAGCGGGGGACCUUCGUGCCUCGCGCUAUAGGGUUGGCCGAUGGCUGAUUAGCUAGUUGGUGGGGUAAAGGCCUACCAAGGCGACGAUCAGUAGCUGGUCUGAGAGGACGACCAGCCACACUGGGACUGAGGCACGGCCCAGACUCCGACGGGAGGCAGCAGUGGGGAAUUUUGGACAAUGGGCGAAAGCCUGAUCCAGCAAUGCCGCGUGUGUGAAGAAGGCCUUCGGGUUGUAAAGCACUUUUGUCCGGAAAGAAAUCCUUGGCCCUAAUACGGUCGGGGGAUGACGGUACCGGAAGAAUAAGCACCGGCUAACUACGUG